This 1001-nucleotide long non-coding RNA is filed under the name Homo sapiens (human). RNAcentral's name for it is "HSALNT0241361". The record is from RNAcentral. Lineage: Eukaryota; Metazoa; Chordata; Mammalia; Primates; Hominidae.
AGUAGGGCUGGAUCAGGCGGAAGCCGGGGCCCGGGGCUGGGCUUCGUGUCCUGCGUUCCGGGAGCGCCAACCCCUCCAGCAGAGGGGACGUGGCUGGUGGCUGGAGAAGCUGGAUUUGCCCUUUGAUGGUGGCCCUCUUGAUCCCCGGCUUGCUGAAGUCAAAGGAGAGGCUGUCGAUGCUGAGGCACGAGAGAAUUUGCUCCUGCUCCUCCAGAGAAAAUGGCUGGGACAGGCUGUUGAGGAAUAAUUCUGCAGGGAAAAGUGGAAGAUGGCUGUGAAAGACUGGGAGGAGGCUGGCUGUGUUUUCAGGGGUUCUUCCUGCACAGUCGGUAGAAGCUGAGCUGCUGGGGAAGGGGCUGGAAGAAAGCCCACACCGCAGGUAUCAGUAGCAAAUUCAAAAACUACAGAAUCAGCUCCAGAGGACUUUGUUAACAAGAAAGAGAAGAUUGAAAACAGCCCUGGGGCUACACCAACUCAAGAGCUCCCAGGCAAAGUGGCAUCCUGGACCCACCAUCUCUCCUACCCCAUCCUCAGUCGGUACUUCCCCAGGCACCGUUUGUUCUGGCAUGGGGCUAGUUCAGCCCUGGGACCACCCUCAUCCUUAUAACUACCAGCUGUCUUUGGUGAGGUGCAAGAUCUCUCUGGUUUUCUUUAUUUCAUUUUCAUUCCUAUAAUCACAGCCUUUUUUGUGCCCAUCCCUCAGGUGACAUUCUAUUAUGUUUGAUGUGUCAUUUUUGAUUUGGUUGUGUCCUUGCAAAAUGUGCGUUGUUUUAUUUAUCAAUUUAUUUUUAUUUUUAUUUUUUUAAAGAGAUGAGGUCUCAUCAUGUUGCCCAGGCUGGACUCCAACUCCUGGGCUCAAGCGAUCCUUCCACCUCAAUCUUCUGAGUGGCUGGGACUACAGAUGUGCGCCACCAUACCUGGCUAUUGAUCAAUUUUUAGUUUACCAAACAGGCAUUAUGUUCUGGGUCCCAUUCUGUGUCGGGUUCUCUUUUCACUCGGCA